Molecule: ribosomal RNA, 305 nt
Filed under: uncultured bacterium
Lineage: Bacteria
Description: bacterial SSU rRNA
Rfam family: Bacterial small subunit ribosomal RNA
Source: RNAcentral
UCCUACGGGGGGCAGCAGUGAGGAAUAUUGGUCAAUGGGAGAGAUCCUGAACCAGCCAAGUCGCGUGAGGGAAGACUGCCCUAUGGGUUGUAAACCUCUUUUGUCAGGGAGCAACGCCGGCUACGUGUAGCCGGACUGAGAGUACCUGAAGAAAAAGCAUCGGCUAACUCCGUGCCAGCAGCCGCGGUAAUACGGAGGAUGCGAGCGUUAUCCGGAUUUAUUGGGUUUAAAGGGUGCGUAGGCGGAAUGCCAAGUCAGCGGUAAAAUUGCGGGGCUCAACCCCGUCGAGCCGUUGAAACUGGCAG